UCAUAGUGUUGUGUUCCUGUCGGUGAGUAAGGUUGCCAGAGUUGCAGGCUGUUAGGGUCGGCAACGCGCAUGUAACUCCUCUGGAGUUGCAGGCGUACAUAGGCUACGGAGACUGCUUAACAUCAGGCGGGCCGUAUGCUUGUUUGCCACCGACGUAGUAUAAAAAAAAUACU
Molecule: long non-coding RNA, 173 nt
Organism: Cydia strobilella
Lineage: Eukaryota; Metazoa; Arthropoda; Insecta; Lepidoptera; Tortricidae
Exons: 2
Source: RefSeq, a predicted model, not a curated record